GUGAUGAGGGCGUUGGGACACCGUGAUUUGUGAAGAGCACCUGGAGGGCUGA
Molecule: small nucleolar RNA, 52 nt
Filed under: Pyrobaculum arsenaticum DSM 13514
Lineage: Archaea; Thermoproteati; Thermoproteota; Thermoprotei; Thermoproteales; Thermoproteaceae
Also listed under: 1 other name
Description: PARsR44
Source: RNAcentral